UAGAUUCUAUUGCAUCCAAAACGUCAAUGGAUCCUUCAAGUAUUACAUGGUCCUACACGUACAACAGAAAAGUGGCAGUCUCAGAUAAGAUCACAGAAGUUGGGAUGAAAUUCCCUGGAAAACUUGAAUCCGUGCCUAAGGACUGGUGGGUAGAAGAUAUAUGUGAACUUGAGAUAGAUCUUUACAAACGAGUUAUGGUUGCCGUUAAAUCCAAAGGAAGAAUGGAUGGUAGUGUUAUUGGCGAGGCACUAAGAACUUAUGCCAUGAGAUGGCUGCCUAA
Molecule: unclassified non-coding RNA, 280 nt
Filed under: Hevea brasiliensis (rubber tree)
Lineage: Eukaryota; Viridiplantae; Streptophyta; Magnoliopsida; Malpighiales; Euphorbiaceae
Source: RNAcentral